RNAcentral lists this transfer RNA (73 nucleotides) under Maribacter litopenaei. Its description in RNAcentral is "Maribacter sp. HL-LV01 tRNA-Asn". It matches the Rfam family "tRNA". Rfam says of the family: Transfer RNA (tRNA) molecules are approximately 80 nucleotides in length. The record is from RNAcentral. Lineage: Bacteria; Pseudomonadati; Bacteroidota; Flavobacteriia; Flavobacteriales; Flavobacteriaceae.
UCCUCCUUAGCUCAGUUGGUUAGAGCAUCUGACUGUUAAUCAGAGGUUCUUGGUUCGAGCCCAAGAGGGGGAG